GCGGCGUUAGCGCCUUGUCUCUGUUGGCACCGUUAGCCUACGUCAGGGGAGGAUCUGGGCACCGAGUGGGGGGUCCCCCAGGGCCAUCUUCCGCCUGGGGUCCGCCUCUGUCCUCAGCGCCGCACAUGCUUUUUGCUCCGCCACCCCCUCCCGCUCCUUUGGGGAAGUGCGACUUCAGACCAACUGCAGGGCGGUCGGUGACGCGGUUGGAGACCCUGAACGUAAUGAACGUCAGCCCCGGGGGCCUGGUGGUAAGGCGGGAGUCCUCGUCCGUGUCUGCGGCGUUUAGCAAUAAAACAGAGGUGGUGAGUUGA
Hyaena hyaena (striped hyena) is the source of this 314-nucleotide long non-coding RNA. RefSeq lists it as uncharacterized. Lineage: Eukaryota; Metazoa; Chordata; Mammalia; Carnivora; Hyaenidae. The record is from RefSeq and is a predicted model, not a curated record. The transcript has 2 exons.